GAUGAACGCUGGCGGCGUGCCUAAUACAUGCAAGUCGAGCGAACAGACGAGGAGCUUGCUCCUCUGCCGUUGGCGGCGGACGGGUGAGUAACACGUGGAUAACCUACCUAUAAGACUGGGAUAACUUCGGGAAACCGGAGCUAAUACCGGAUAAUAUAUUGAACCGCAUGGUUCAAUAGUGAAAGACGGUUUUGCUGUCACUUAUAGAUGGAUCCGCGCCGCAUUAGCUAGUUGGUAAGGUAACGGCUUACCAAGGCAACGAUGCGUAGCUGAUCUGAGAGGGUGAUCGGCCACACUGGAACUGAGACACGGUCCAGACUCCUACGGGAGGCAGCAGUAGGGAAUCUUCCACAAUGGGCGAAAGCCUGACGGAGCAACGCCGCGUGAGUGAUGAAGGUCUUCGGAUCGUAAAGCUCUGUUAUUAGGGAAGAACAGAUGUAUAAGAAAAUAUGGCCGUCUUGACGGUACCUAAUCAGAAAGCAACGGCUAACUACGUG
Molecule: ribosomal RNA, 497 nt
Filed under: uncultured bacterium
Lineage: Bacteria
Description: partial 16S ribosomal RNA
Rfam family: Bacterial small subunit ribosomal RNA
Source: RNAcentral